CAAUAUCUCUCAUGAUCCCAAUUUUAAUAUUGUUUAUAUCUAUUUACUGAGCUGUGUAUGAAGUUGUUCGUUUAUCAUUAGCUCUUCUUGCGAGAUAAUUAUUUUCAGCAUCCCAUAAAUUACCAAUUUUCCUUUUGUCAGUUAACCAUAAACAUUAGAAUCUCUAUCAAAAUCUAAAAUACAUUACUUUCAUGGAUUCCAACAAUCAUUGCAGUAUAGCAGUUUGAGGAGCUGCAAAUCGAUCGUCGCAGUCUCUCUAUCCCCAACUCCUUUCUCUCAGUGUCAGCUGAGCGGUGUGAGCAACUGACUCAAUCAAAAAAUUGAGAAGGCUAUGGAGGUCCUGUCAGGUCAAGGGAUAGAGUGUACAUAUGAGCAGUGGAAGGAUCUCAAAUCUGCGUGUAGAGCAUUCCAGGCGUGCUGCUCUUUCAUCGAACAAGAAAUCCUUCCGAGACGAGCUGAAGUUCCAGUUGGACAUGUACAAGGUUAAUGUAGCAGUAGUGUCGUCCGUUUGAACUGGUGGUUGUAAAAUAUCAAAGUAGUAAUUGUUUGCUGGAUCAGUAUCACCCAUCUAGGCAGUGUCAGAAAUUUCCUUAUGUUGCUAUCCUUUUUUGUGAACUUUGUUGGAAUCUAAGCAGCGUUGGUAUUCUUACA
This is a non-coding RNA of Lolium perenne, 651 nucleotides long. Lineage: Eukaryota; Viridiplantae; Streptophyta; Magnoliopsida; Poales; Poaceae. The record is from RefSeq and is a predicted model, not a curated record.